CCCUUAGAUGUUCUGGGCUGCACGCGCGCUACACUGAUGCAUGCAACGAGUUUUCGACCUUGCCUGAAAAGGUUGGGUAAUCUGUUUAACGUGUCGUGAUGGGGAUAGACCAUUGCAAUUAUUGGUCUUCAACGAGGAAUUCCUAGUAGACGUAGUUCAUCAGACUGCAUCGAUUACGUCCCUGCCCUUUGUACACACCGCCCGUCGCUCCUACCGAUUGAAUGCUCAGGUGAGCCAUUCGGACCUUCAUCAUGCCGGUUUCCGGUUUUGAUGAGGGAAAGUCUUGCGAACCUUAUCAUUUAGAGGAAGGAGAAGUCGUAACA
This 323-nucleotide ribosomal RNA is filed under the name uncultured eukaryote. RNAcentral's name for it is "partial 18S ribosomal RNA". It matches the Rfam family "Eukaryotic small subunit ribosomal RNA", at positions 1470 to 1796 of the family's 1831-position model. The record is from RNAcentral.